Molecule: long non-coding RNA, 6948 nt
Filed under: Capsicum annuum
Lineage: Eukaryota; Viridiplantae; Streptophyta; Magnoliopsida; Solanales; Solanaceae
Description: long non-coding RNA (CANN_LNC008530)
Source: RNAcentral
ACAAGAUGAACAAUAGACUAAUUUCGGAUUCCAUAUUAACAACACAAACACACGGUUACAACAUCAACACUACUACAUGAUUACAAAGAAACAAAAGGAAAGAUAGUUAGACAAAUUGAAGGUAUAAUAUUAACAACCCAAAAGCCUAUUCCACUCUUGGACCUUUAACAUCACACACAUCAAAUACCUAACUCUUCUUUUGGUACAAGAGUGACCCCGAUCUCCCAAGCAUCCAACAUUUUUAAGAUUGAAUCCAACAUGAGCGAUUCCACACUUAAGUUGAUUUCCAUAGUUACAAUUUCGGGUUGGUGGUCUUCUCUCCCUAAUGAAACCCUACAUUAUUCUAUUUAUAGUGUAUUACAAAUAAUAGGUAAAAUGACCCAAAGGCCCCAUAGUGAAGGGGCAACCCUUUAGUAUAUGUAGUGAACUAAUUUGGCCCAUUUAGUGUAUGUAGUGGACUGUUUUGGUGUCUAUUUAGGUGCUCCUUUGCCCUCAGGUCUAAUGUACGCCCUUAUAAGUCCAUCUACGUGAUGGUACUCGUAUCAUCAUCCCUUUCUUGAAAAGGAUUCGACCUCGAAUCCGUACCUUGCAAAAUCAAAGAGAACAAACAAGUACACAUCCCCAUGGCAUGAGGGCUAGGGUUAGCAAAAUAAACAACUAGCACUAUUAUGCCACGGUGGUACACACUUGAAGCACAACCAAGGAUCCUUUGUGUUAAUUAUGAAAAGCUUUUGUACAACAUCACAAACGAAAGGGCUCGGAUGAACAUCAAGAAUUAAGGGACAAAAACCGAGACUAUGCCUCUCAUAUGAUGUAUAUCCAACAACAUCAUGAAUAGGGAGAAUAGGGAAACUACCAUGCAACAAUCCAAUCCAAGGCAAGUAGUUUGCCCAAGAACUCGGCUUCCCUCUACAAAUGAUGUGAAGCGUGCUCCGAAGAGUCCCACAAGAUACUUCAACUUGUCCAACCCCAUGAAGGUGACAAGAAGUUUUUAACAUCCUUGGACCCUUCCACAAAUAAGAAUAAAACUUGGCAUCCUCAAGUUGUGGUUCACAUAACUUAAAUACAAGUGUGUCAAACAUGGAUACACGGAUAUGUGCAAUACCCCAAAGAGACAAUGACAUAUUUGCCCUAUGGUCCUCGAGUAGACACAAACCAUUAUUAACAUCAAAGGGAUCACAAUUCAAGUCGCCAUAUUUGUCAACCACGGGUGGGGUGUCAUGCAAAGGAGUACAAGCAAAAUCAUUUUUCAAAGAUAUGUCAAGCACAUGAUUAAUCCUAUGAGCCAAGCAAACAUUAGAAUCUUUACAACAACAUAGGCUCAACAUCUUCAAAUUCUUCACUCACAUGAGAUUCAUUAAUCACAUCACACAUAUUCUCAAGUGGUGGGAAAGUUUUACACACAAGUUGAUCAACACAAUUUUCACAUAAUGAUGUACUUUCAUUCAACACAAUAUCUUUAACACUAGGUGGACACAAAUCAAUCAUACUAGAAGAGUCGAUUCGGUCAUCUAUAGGAUCAACUAGUGUAUCUACUCGCACAACAUAUACAUCAUCCACAAGUGGUAAGAAAUCAAUAUACUUAUAUGUAGGUAAGCUACUACUCACACUCAAUGGUUUAUUAGUCACAUGUUCAUCAUUCACAUGUACCAAAGUAUAAGAGUUAGCUAUUUUUCCUUGACGUUCAUGAGUAUGUUCAUCUUUACCUCGGUGUGAAAGUCCUUUACAAGUUUGGGAAGAAACUUCCAUCGGGAAGCUCUCACCGCAAGGUGUUUAUGGACCUUAGGUUUUGAAUUUAUUAGGAUAAGUGUGGAUACCAAUUGGCGUAGCCUUUCAACGUGCCCUUUCAUGUCUUCAAUAUUGUCAGUGAUGCGGUUAAACCAUGGUACCUAAAAGAAAAGAAAACAACGAACAACAAAAAAACAAACUUGUUAGCUCAAAAAUGCCUCACCACACUCUCACUCUCAAUUUUUACCUCACAAUUGAUUUCACAAGUGUUGAAAGUCGGCUUGUACUUCGCGAGUGAUUGAGGAUCGAGUCUACUCUUGCCCAGAAUAGAUUUUCGUUUGAGUUGACUCAAAGAAAAUUUAUUUACGGACUUGAACCAACAAGAUACAACGAAUUCACAAAAGAUAAAAGCACACAAAAAACGUAGAUACGAACAAACAGACUCUACAACUAACUUACAAUCUAGUAGGAGAUUACUAGUUUGUUAAUUAGUGUUCGAACCAACAAACGGAACUAGGAAACAAUAAAAUGAAACUAAAAAAUAUGAAAUUUAAGCUUAGAAAUUGUCGGUGAACAGUAAAAAUGUGAUGUGGCAGCCACGUAUUGGUUGCGGUUGUUAUCAAAUUUUAUUUUCUAAUUCAAGUCUUGAUCCAAUUGUAAUUUAGAAUUGGUGGGAAUUGAUUAAGGAGAGAAAACAAGUCUUGAAAUCUUUUUUCAAAUUCAAAAAGCAAGACUUGACUUUUCUCCUCAAGACAUGGUCCUUAAAUCAUGGAAGGUUGUUGAAAAAGUGGUUGUUAAAUUCCUUGUGGUUGGAAUUGGUUGUAAAAGUCUUGAGAGGUCUUAAAUUUUGGAAAUAUGUCUUUCAAGACUAACAAAAUACACUCUCUUUCUUCAACUUCCAAGAUCAAACAUCCACUUUUUCUUCAACAAUAGAUGAAGAUGUGAAGAACACCAAGAACACAUUUUUUUGAAUCUUGAAGUUCAAAGGUUCAAGUUGGGACCCCAAACAUCAACAACACCUUUCCAAGCUUAAAAGUACAACACAAUAACCACCACACACAUUCAAACCUUGAACCAACAACACACCACACGUCCAAACUUUGAAUCCGCAACAACAAUACCAACAACAAUCACAUGGCCAAAGUUUAGGUUCACAAUAACAACAUCAACAAUUAAAGCUCAAAUCUAGAUCUAGACUUCUUUAGUUUUAGAGGUGAAGAAUCUAACACUAGAAACAACAAAACAAAUAAAAUGACUCCUAGAUCUAGACUCAAAACAAGAAAAAUCUCGGCCAAGACACAUCAAGAACACAAUUUUGGCCAAGACACAAAAAUGGACAGAUUCACUUCUUUUUGGAAUUUUUUGAUUUCAACUUUUUUAUUUUGAAUUUUCUAACAAGCAAGCCCAAGAUUGAUCUUGUAGGAACAAGAUCUAGCCUUGCUUUGAUACCAAAUGAUACACGAAAGACAAUAGAAACUCAAAACAAACACCAAAAUUAGUCCACUAGCCAAGAAACCAAGGACCUCUUUUGGUGACCCCUCUAAAAUUCGCUACCAACAAGAAGAAAACAAAGCACAAUGGCGUAAUAACACCAAAACAGUAGAAACACAACAAGAACAAGAUGAACAAUAGACUAAUUUUGGAUUCCACAUUAACAACACAAACACAUGGUUACAACAUCAACACUACUACAUGAUUACAAAGAAACAAAAGGAUAGAUAGUUAGACAAAUUGAAGGUAUAAUAUUAACAACCCAAAAUUCUAUUCCACUCUUGGACCUUUAACAUCACACACAUCAAAUACCUAACUCUUAUGUUGACAUAAGAGUGACCCCGAUCUCCCAAGCAUCCAACAUUUCCAAGAUUGAAUCCAACACGAUCAAUUCCACACUCAAGUUGAUUUCCCUAGUUACAAUUUUGGGUUGGUGGUCUUUUCUCCUUAGAGAGGAGAUAUUUCAAGUGUUAUAAACUCAUAAUAUUCAUUAAAAUCUCCCUAAUGAAAUCCUACAUUAUUCUAUUUAUAGUGUAUUGCAAAUAAUAGGUAAAAUGACCAAAAGGCCCCUUAGUGAACACUACAAGAAAUAACGCCUUUAGUGGCAACAAAAGUCGCGGCAAAAGACAUUUAGUGGCGACUGGGAGGUCGUUGGUUUUACGAUCGUAACUAAAGGUUAUUUGUGGCGACAUAUGAGUCGCCACUGAAUGAAAGAAUUUAGUAGCGACCCCAGGUAGCCACAGAAAAUGACGAGAGGCGACUUCACCUUGCUACAAUAGGCAAUUUCAAUAUAGAGGAAAUACACCUUUAGCGGCAACUUAUAGUCACCACUAAGAUUAAUAUUUUUGAAAAAAAAAAUUAAUACACCUUUAGCGGCAACUUAUAGUCGCCACUAAUAUUAAUAUUUUUGAAAAAAAAUUAAUAUAAAUUUGUUGUACAAUUAUUUCUUAAUACAAAAUUUAAUGUCUUCAGACUUCUAAUCAAUAAUUCUCCAUCAUUUAAAGAACCUUUCCCUAUAACGAACAAAGUAAAUUUUCAUUUCGAUAGCUUGAAAUUGAGAAAGAAAAGAUUUGAUCACAACAAUAGAAAAAAUUCAUGCUAACUAGCAUGUUAAUAUAAAUGUAUUACAAGUUUCUUACUCACAACUACACCGUACACAUGGAUAGACACACCCAAUGUUGCUAGAAUUCCUCAAACAAAAGAUAAACACCAAAGCAGUUUCUUAUCAAAUACUAGGUAGUGAAGGCAUAGGCCGAACGUUGGAGCAUUUUUCUUACUUAAAUGGCAUAUAUAUUUUACAGUUUUUACAUGUAGAAAUUAUAUGGCUGGCAAGUGUUAUCUUGUUUACAUCCAUCACUAUAUUAUUCACCUCAGACAUCUACCAUGCUAUACUAUUUACAUGUUGAAAAUGAUGUUGUUUGUAGCUUCUUAGUGAAACUUAACAAAAAAAAAGAAGCAAGAGACUAUAGACAAAUGAGAUUCUCGACCAAAUUUAGUAAGUCUACUUCUUAACACAUACAAUAAUCUAAUGUAUCUACCAAUGUCACCUAAAUUGAACAUUGCCUUCUACAAAAACAUGCUAAUGAAAAUAUUUAUAAUGUAGAUCCACAUUCUCUCCAUUUCUAGUGUGUUUUAUCAUUUCUCAAAGUCUGCAGGGAGAAACAUUUCACUUUGACCAAGUUGUAGUAACAAUCAAGGUGUAUAAGCAUCACCAAGUUGAAGGGACAAUUAAGGUGUCUAAGCAUCAAGCUACUAAACAUUCCAAGGAGAUAAAUAGAGGACCAACAAACAUCAUCUCUGUUUCUUCCAAGAUUGCAUGUGGUUAAGUAUUUUCAAAAGAAUCCAACCAUUUUAUCUAGCGAAGAUUCACAUAUUUGUAGCUUUAGAAACAUGAAAAGAAACAUCAACAUGGCCAAAAACAUGUGGCCUCAGAUUGUACCUGAUGUUCAGAAAUGAUGCACAAAUAUUUUUUGGUCUUGAGCUCUUAGCAAACGUCAAUAUGAUAAAAUUUGUAAAUUAAGUCAACUUGUAGAAUAUUAAUACUUCCCUGAUACUUCGUUUCAUGGAACACAAAUAAAUUAGUAAUCUGAAGCAAAUUUUUAAUGUGCCCUUGAAUUAGGGAAGUGAAGCAAUUUGUAUUCAGCAAUAUUUUAUAAAAAUAAAUAAGCAAGAAGAAACAACCAUAUUCAACCAUAACAAAGAUGAUGGAAGCCUCAUUAAAUACUCCAGUUCUACUAUGCCAAAACACAUGAAAAGUCAGCAUUGUCAUUAAGAUUAUAUCUAACACAAGUAAAAUAAGCGACAAACCCUGAAAAACUCAUCUCGAUCAAGCAAGCUGGUAGCAGAUAGAGGCAACUGCAAGUGUACAAGUAAAGAAAUAUUGAAGCAUCACGAGGGUAUGAUUUGAAGACAAAAAGCUAUAGGAAAUAGCAAAAUAUUUAGCUAAUCUCGAUAUCAAACCACUCGAUAGAACAGAACAGUCAAAGAAGACUAUCGACUUAGCUAAUCUCAAUUGAAGACCUACAUUAUAAAAAGGAAAAAGGAUUAACAGAAGUAAACAGAGGAGAAUAUUAGACAAACAUGAAAACAAAAAUAGAAGAAGACUAACCAGAAUGGAAAGUAUUAUUCUCAAAUAAACCAUAAGGUGCUGCACUAAACUAUAUCCCAUUCUUUUACUUUAAAUUAUCUCCAUAGUAAAAAUAUCUAGAAGAUAUAAAAAGCUUCUUAACUAAAUAAAUUAGGAACAUUUUGUUUAGCUAAACUACAAUAUCAUGUUAUCCAUGGAAACAUAUCGGAAGACAUCCGAGGAGCUAAAAUAACUCAAUUAUAAUGUUAAUGCUAGCUAACAACCAGCAAAAGUUCCAGGUAAGCUCUGGCGGCACAAUUGAAGAUCAGAAUUCAAAUAUCAAUUUACAUAAAAUCAAUCAAGCUAAAAAAGGAAAAAAUUUCAAUCAAUGGAAUCAAUUAUUCAAAUCAUCAAAGAAGGAAAAAUAUAUGACCAAGCCAUUUAGAGUGAAACCAAAUACGAAAUUGGAUGAAUCAAAAAAUCAAAAUCAACUGUUAUAAUUUCAAAUUUAAUAAUCUAUCAAAUAAAAGAACGAGAAGAAGAUAACAAUGUUAAUUUGGGACAUGAAAUUAAAUUGAGUACAAACCUGGAUGGAUUCACGGAUUUUGCCAGCGAUGAGUGGAAAUUAUGGCGGCGGAGAAGUGGACCAGUGGUGGUCCUUCGGACUGGCAGCUCCUGUUGCUGUUGCCUUUUCCGUCGGUAGAUGGGGAAUCUGACAGGCGCUUGAUCGGUGAUGGAGUUACCCACUUCUCCGGUGGAGGGCGGCGGCUACGUGGAGGGAUGGAGAAGGCGUUGUUUGAGGGCUGUUGGUGGGGCAGGGCUUGGUCGGAGAUGGCUUCAUUUGGGCUCACAAUAAGGGCUGUUGGUGGCGCGCGGCUCGCCGGAGCAUGGGUUUUCUGGUGGUUUUAAAGAGAAAGAGAGAGAGAGAGAAGGGAGAGAGGAGCGGCGCUGGUGUUGGGUGGUUGAUCGGCGGCGGUUCACCGGUGACAGUGAUGCAUCUGUUGUGGUGAGAGAGAGAGUAUGGGGAGGAGAGAGGUGGCUGCUUUGUUGUUGUUGAAAAUUGGAUUAGGUUUUAGGUUUUGUUUAAAGAAGAGAGUGAGAGAUUUGAUCUCAGUCAUUGGAUCAAUUUUGAUCCAAUGGCUGAGAUUAAAAGGGUUUAAAAG